Molecule: long non-coding RNA, 2017 nt
Organism: Dermacentor silvarum
Lineage: Eukaryota; Metazoa; Arthropoda; Arachnida; Ixodida; Ixodidae
Exons: 2
Source: RefSeq, a predicted model, not a curated record
GCCGCUAGAUGCAACUACAUAGGAAACUCAUAGAGAUUUCUUAGAACAAGUGCUUUGACGUUUGAAAAUUCGGGACAAUUUGGCAGCUUUUGACAAUAUACUCAUUGUAUGGCCUUCAACCAUCACACCGGGCUGAAUGGCACAGGCUUGAGAUUUUGUGGUGCACCUGUGACCACUACCUCUGCCUUCUGUGACAUGAAUAGUCUUCUUUUUCAUGGCCGAAGCCACUGUACACUUGGCACAUAUAUUAAAUGAGUUGCAAAAAGGUGCUGUAAUUACUUGCGGUGUUGUCAAGUAAUUGAGGCUUCGUACAGUACUUAGGGUAGGAAGGUAACCAACAGCUACAUUAAAAAGCAAGAAAUGCAGGGCAUAAAAUUUUUGUGUCUGAACUCCUUUAAACUGUCAGAACUCUUUUAACCUUUAUCGGUUCAGAUGUACAACUGCACCAGUUUGUUUUCUUGCACGAUAGCUGACGCUAACAGCUGUUGGUAAAAUACAGGAUGAACAGCGCUGCAAAGGAAACAAUUUGCCAUCGGUGUGUUUCUUAUCUUGAUUAUGAUCUUUGUUCACACCACUGUUUGUAAUGUGCUUCCAAAUGCAUGUAACAAUUGUUCCAACCAGCGAGGUUCUCACAUAAUAUAGCAGGAACAGUUUGCUUUUCCGUCGAAAUGAACUGGCACAUUUUUGGGGCAAGGCACAGGAUUAUUAUCUCUGCUUUUGAUCUGGGGGUUCUUCACUGAAGUGUAUCUGUAACGGUCUUGCAUAUAAUCAUAUGUAUGUUUGUUGCAUACACAAACAAACAUCUUACGUAUGAGUGUGUAUGCUCACAAGGUGAGUGAGAUGUCCUACAGAAGGAAUUCCUUUUAUGAAUAGAUAUUAGUUAUAGAGCAGAAACAGCUUGUUGUUAUGCCAAUCUCAGUGGUUGCUACAUCGUAAAACAUGUGGUGCUUUAAAAUGAGUGAGCAGAAGCAUCCAUCAGAAUUGCUGUAAAAGCAGUGCAUUGUAAAUGCUCACACCAGUACACCAGUCUCAGUGGUGCCACCAAUACUGCAGUAAGCCAUCAGAAAAGUACUUUUGUAGGAGUGUGCGAAUAUUCAAGACCUUCAAAUAACAAGUCGAAUAUUUCCCUAUCCGACUGGGUUUUUAAAUCGAAUAGUCACUAUUCAUAAAUACAAAUAUUUGUAAAAUAGUUGUUGAAUACUUCAAAUUGCGAAGUGUGCGCAAUCAAGCACGAUUGAGGUAACAUUGCGAUAACUUUCAUUCCAGUGGCUACAGUAGACAUAAAUCACAAGAAGUUACAUAGUGGAGCACUUUGCAUUGCGCAGGAAGCCAGACUUUUUCAGCAAAACUGCUGCCACUUCCACUCACCAAUGAGUCCAGCGCGCAGCUGGGUCGUCCACAAGCUUGGAAACUUACUCCACCGAAGACGAAGCUUCAAGAAAGAAAAAAUGUCACUACUGCAACCUUUGCCCCUAUGUUGCGAAGAGUUCACCAUCUUUGAGACAACACAUGCUGACUCAUACUGGAGAGAGGCCCUUUGAGUGCACCGUCUGCUUGGCUAGGUUUGCGCAAGUGGGAACACUUUCAAAUCACAUGCGCAGGCACAGUGGAGAAAAACCGUUUCAGUGUGCCCUCUGCCCAUAUAGAUCAGCUACCAGGAGUUCCAUAUUGUACCACAUCAAAAACCACACUGGUGACAAGCCCUUUGCAUGUAACGAGUGCUCUUACGUCACCGCAAACAGAACGGAUCUGGUAAAACAUGUCCGCAUUCAUACAGGCGAAAAGCCAUACAAGUGUAAGGAGUGCUCAUAUGCUUGCGCCCAAAAAGCACACCUAUACCGGCACAUGUGGCGGCACACCAAACACCAGGCUCAAUUGCAGGGCCACACUUCCUCUUCUGGAGUAUGAUGGACAACAAUGGGAUCCAAGGAAUUCAAAGUUUCCUUCAGUCGUUAAAGGUGCCCCAGAACACUUUUUUGACUGAGUUGAAUAAAUAAACCUAUUUAUUUGCUGGACA